GUGUACGUACAAGCAGUGGGAGCCUUCGUAAGAGGGUGACUGCGUACCUUUUGUAUAAUGGGUCAGCGACUUAUAUUCUGUAGCAAGGUUAACCGUAUAGGGGAGCCGAAGGGAAACCGAGUCUUAACCGGGCGUUAAGUUGCAGGGUAUAGACCCGAAACCCGGUGAUCUAGCCAUGGGCAGGUUGAAGGUUGGGUAACACUAACUGGAGGACCGAACCGACUAAUGUUGAAAAAUUAGCGGAUGACCUGUGGCUGGGGGUGAAAGGCCAAUCAAACCGGGAGAUAGCUGGUUCUCCCCGAAAGCUAUUUAGGUAGCGCCUCGUGAACUCAUCUCCGGGGGUAGAGCACUGUUUCGGCUAGGGGGCCAUCCCGGCUUACCAACCCGAUGCAAACUGCGAAUACCGGAGAAUGUUAUCACGGGAGACACACGGCGGGUGCUAACGUCCGUCGUGAAGAGGGAAACAACCCAGACCGCCAGCUAAGGUCCCAAAGUCAUGGUUAAGUGGGAAACGAUGUGGGAAGGCCCAGACAGCCAGGAUGUUGGCUUAGAAGCAGCCAUCAUUUAAAGAAAGCGUAAUAGCUCACUGGUCGAGUCGGCCUGCGCGGAAGAUGUAACGGGGCUAAACCAUGCACCGAAGCUGCGGCAGCGACACUAUGUGUUGUUGGGUAGGGGAGCGUUCUGUAAGCCUGCGAAGGUGUGCUGUGAGGCAUGCUGGAGGUAUCAGAAGUGCGAAUGCUGACAUAAGUAACGAUAAAGCGGGUGAAAAGCCCGCUCGCCGGAAGACCAAGGGUUCCUGUCCAACGUUAAUCGGGGCAGGGUGAGUCGACCCCUAAGGCGAGGCCGAAAGGCGUAGUCGAUGGGAAACAGGUUAAUAUUCCUGUACUUGGUGUUACUGCGAAGGGGGGACGGAGAAGGCUAUGUCGGCCGGGCGACGGUUGUCCCGGUUUAAGCGUGUAGGCUGACUUUCCAGGCAAAUCCGGAAGGUUAAGGCUGAGGCGUGAUGACGAGGCACCACGGUGCUGAAGUGACAAAUGCCCUGCUUCCAGGAAAAGCCUCUAAGCAUCAGGUAACAUCAAAUCGUACCCCAAACCGACACAGGUGGUCAGGUAG
Molecule: ribosomal RNA, 1113 nt
Filed under: Cronobacter sakazakii
Lineage: Bacteria; Pseudomonadati; Pseudomonadota; Gammaproteobacteria; Enterobacterales; Enterobacteriaceae
Description: partial 23S ribosomal RNA
Rfam family: Bacterial large subunit ribosomal RNA
Source: RNAcentral